Panicum virgatum (switchgrass) is the source of this 281-nucleotide long non-coding RNA. RefSeq lists it as uncharacterized. NCBI's taxonomy places the organism in Eukaryota, Viridiplantae, Streptophyta, Magnoliopsida, Poales, Poaceae. The transcript is spliced from 2 exons. The record is from RefSeq and is a predicted model, not a curated record.
AAAUUCUAAUUAAAGAGAGUGUUGGGAGAAAAAAUAAUUGCAUUGACCCAUACUGAUCUCCUUCUGUAGUGUUCUGAUCAGUGGCUUACCAAUGCACCUGUAAUCAGGUUUAAUGAGCUCUGUUAUUUGCGGUUCUCCAUUGGUGAUUGGCUGAUAACUUCUGCUAUCCAUAUUAUAAAGUGGUUUUUAAAAUCAGUUACUUUUCAUCUGCCUAGCUUGGGCGCAGUCUGCUGGAUGUUUGAAGUCUUGAUGGGUUAUCAUCUGAUAAUUCUCUUUCAACA